ACAGCUUUGUUCCACCAAUCUGAU
RNAcentral lists this non-coding RNA (24 nucleotides) under Arabidopsis thaliana (thale cress). Lineage: Eukaryota; Viridiplantae; Streptophyta; Magnoliopsida; Brassicales; Brassicaceae. The record is from RNAcentral.